GAUGAACGCUAGCGGGAGGCUUAACACAUGCAAGUCGAGGGGCAUCUCGUGGUAGCAAUACUGGAGGCGACCGGCGUACGGGUGAGUAACGCGUAUGUAACCUACCCUUACCGGGGGAUAGCUCCCGGAAACGGGAAUUAAUACCCCAUGAGGUUUCGGAGGCGCAUGCUUUCGGGAUCAAAGCUACGGCGGUAAAGGAUGGGCAUGCGUAGCAUUAGCUAGUUGGUAGGGUAACGGCCUACCAAGGCUACGAUGCUUAGGGGACCUGAGAGGGUGUACCCCCACACUGGAACUGAAACACGGUCCAGACUCCUACGGGAGGCAGCAGUGGGGAAUUUUGGACAAUGGGGGCAACCCUGAUCCAGCCAUUCCGCGUGAGUGAAGAAGGCCUUCGGGUUGUAAAGCUCUUUCAGCUGGAACGAAACGGUGCGCUCUAACAUAGCGUGCUAAUGACGGUACCAGCAGAAGAAGCACCGGCUAACUACGUG
This 488-nucleotide ribosomal RNA is filed under the name uncultured bacterium. RNAcentral describes it as "bacterial SSU rRNA". It matches the Rfam family "Bacterial small subunit ribosomal RNA", at positions 28 to 507 of the family's 1533-position model. The record is from RNAcentral.